Molecule: ribosomal RNA, 629 nt
Filed under: uncultured bacterium
Lineage: Bacteria
Description: bacterial SSU rRNA
Rfam family: Bacterial small subunit ribosomal RNA
Source: RNAcentral
CAUGCAGUCGAGCGCACCCUUCGGGGCGAGCGGCGGACGGGUUAGUAACGCGUGGGAACAUACCCUUUUCUAUGGAAUAGCCUUUGGAAACGAAGAGUAAUACCAUAUACGCCCUUCGGGGGAAAGAUUUAUCGGAGAAGGAUUGGCCCGCGUAAGAUUAGAUAGUUGGUGGGGUAAUGGCCUACCAAGUCUACGAUCUUUAGCUGGUUUUAGAGGAUGAUCAGCAACACUGGGACUGAGACACGGCCCAGACUCCUACGGGAGGCAGCAGUGGGGAAUCUUAGACAAUGGGCGCAAGCCUGAUCUAGCCAUGCCGCGUGUGUGAUGAAGGCCUUAGGGUUGUAAAACACUUUCAGUGGGGAAGAUAAUGACGGUACCCACAGAAGAAGCUCCGGCUAACUCCGUGCCAGCAGCCGCGGUAAUACGGAGGGAGCUAGCGUUGUUCGGAAUUACUGGGCGUAAAGCGCACGUAGGCGGAUUUGUUAGUCAGAGGUGAAAUCCCGGGGCUCAACCUCGGAACUGCCUUUGAUACUGCAAGUCUAGAGACCGAGAGAGGUGAGUGGAAUUUCCAGUGUAGAGGUGAAAUUCGUAGAUAUUGGAAAGAACACCAGUGGCGAAGGCGGCUCACU